RNAcentral lists this ribosomal RNA (339 nucleotides) under uncultured bacterium. RNAcentral's name for it is "bacterial SSU rRNA". It matches the Rfam family "Bacterial small subunit ribosomal RNA", at positions 29 to 393 of the family's 1533-position model. The record is from RNAcentral.
AGCGAACGCUGGCGGCAGGCUUAACACAUGCAAGUCGAGCGCCCGUAGCAAUACGGGAGCGGCAGACGGGAGAGUAACACGUGGGAACGUGCCUUUUGGUUCGGAACAACCCAGGGAAACUUGGGCUAAUACCGGAUAAGCCCUUACGGGGAAAGAUUUAUCGCCAAAAGAUCGGCCCGCGUCUGAUUAGCUAGUUGGUGAGGUAACGGCUCACCAAGGCUACGAUCAGUAGCUGGUCUGAGAGGAUGAAUCAGCCUCACUGGGACUGAGACACGGCCCAGACUCCUACGGGAGGCAGCAGUGGGAAUAUUGGACAAUGGGCGCAAGCCUGAUCCAGCC